Molecule: ribosomal RNA, 447 nt
Filed under: uncultured bacterium
Lineage: Bacteria
Description: partial 16S ribosomal RNA
Rfam family: Bacterial small subunit ribosomal RNA
Source: RNAcentral
AACGAACGCUGGCGGCAGGCCUAACACAUGCAAGUCGAACGCUCCGCAAGGAGAGUGGCAGACGGGUGAGUAACACGUGGGAAUCUUCCUAUCGGUGGGGAAUAGCUCAGGGAAACUUGGGGUAAUACCGCAUACGCCCGUAAGGGGAAAGAUUUAUCGCCGAUAGAUGAGCCCGCGUCUGAUUAGCUAGUUGGUGGGGUAAUGGCCCACCAAGGCGACGAUCAGUAGCUGGUUUGAGAGAAUGACCAGCCACACUGGGACUGAGACACGGCCCAGACUCCUACGGGAGGCAGCAGUGGGGAAUCUUGGACAAUGGGCGCAAGCCUGAUCCAGCCAUGCCGCGUGAGUGACGAAGGUCUUCGGAUUGUAAAGCUCUUUUAGCAGGGACGAUAAUGACGGUACCUGCAGAAUAAGCCCCGGCUAACUUCGUGCCAGCCGCCGCCGUAA